This 274-nucleotide ribosomal RNA is filed under the name uncultured bacterium. Its description in RNAcentral is "partial 16S ribosomal RNA". It matches the Rfam family "Bacterial small subunit ribosomal RNA", at positions 523 to 796 of the family's 1533-position model. The record is from RNAcentral.
AUACGGAGGGUGCAAGCGUCACUCGGAAUCACUGGGCGUAAAGCGCGCGCAGGCGGCCUGAUAAGUUGGAUGUGAAAGCCUACGGCUCAACCGUAGAACUGCAUCCAAAACUGUCAGGCUAGAGUGUGGGAGAGGAAGAUGGAAUUAGUUGUGUAGGGGUAAAAUCCGUAGAGAUAACUAGGAAUACCAAAAGCGAAGGCAAUCUUCUGGAACACUACUGACGCUGAAGCGCGAAGGCGUGGGGAGCAAACAGGAUUAGAAACCCCAGUAGUCC